RNAcentral lists this ribosomal RNA (462 nucleotides) under uncultured bacterium. RNAcentral's name for it is "partial 16S ribosomal RNA". It matches the Rfam family "Bacterial small subunit ribosomal RNA", at positions 28 to 507 of the family's 1533-position model. The record is from RNAcentral.
GACGAACGUUGGCGGCGUGCUUAACACAUGCAAGUCGAGCGGAAAGGCCCUUCGGGGUACUCGAGCGGCGAACGGGUGAGUAACACGUGAGUAACCUGCCCCAGACUUUGGGAUAACCCUCGGAAACGGGGGCUAAUACCGGAUACGACACAGCUUCGCAUGGGGUCUGUGUGGAAAGUUUUUCGGUUUGGGAUGGGCUCGCGGCCUAUCAGCUUGUUGGUGGGGUGAUGGUCUACCAAGGCGACGACGGGUAGCCGGCCUGAGAGGGCGACCGGCCACACUGGGACUGAGACACGGCCCAGACUCCUACGGGAGGCAGCAGUGGGGAAUAUUGCACAAUGGGCGGAAGCCUGAUGCAGCGACGCCGCGUGAGGGAUGACGGCCUUCGGGUUGUAAACCUCUUUCAGCAGGGACGAAGCGUAAGUGACGGUACCUGCAGAAGAAGCGCCGGCCAACUACGUG